Molecule: ribosomal RNA, 253 nt
Filed under: uncultured bacterium
Lineage: Bacteria
Description: partial 16S ribosomal RNA
Rfam family: Bacterial small subunit ribosomal RNA
Source: RNAcentral
UACGGAGACUGCAAGCGUUACUCGGAAUCACUGGGCGUAAAGGGUGCGUAGGCGGUUGGGUGUGACUGACGUGAAAUCCCAAGGCUUAACCUUGGAACUGCGUUGGUUCCUACCCAUCUAGAGUAUCGGAGAGGCAGGCGGAAUUCCCGGAGUAGCGGUGAAAUGCGUAGAUAUCGGGAAGAACACCGAAAGCGAAGGCAGCCUGCUGGACGAUUACUGACGCUGAGGCACGAAAGCGCGGGUAGCAAAAGGG